RNAcentral lists this ribosomal RNA (495 nucleotides) under uncultured bacterium. RNAcentral's name for it is "partial 16S ribosomal RNA". It matches the Rfam family "Bacterial small subunit ribosomal RNA", at positions 28 to 507 of the family's 1533-position model. The record is from RNAcentral.
GACGAACGCUGGCGGCGUGCCUAAUACAUGCAAGUAGAACGCUGAAGGAGGAGCUUGCUUCUCUGGAUGAGUUGCGAACGGGUGAGUAACGCGUAGGUAACCUGCCUGGUAGCGGGGGAUAACUAUUGGAAACGAUAGCUAAUACCGCAUAAGAGUAGAUGUUGCAUGACAUUUGCUUAAAAGGUGCAAUUGCAUCACUACCAGUUGGACCUGCGUUGUAUUAGCUAGUUGGUGGGGUAACGGCUUACCAAGGCGACGAUACAUAGGCGACCUGGGAGGGGGGUCGGCCACCCUGGGAGGGAGACCCGGCCCAGGCUCCCUCGGGAGGGAGCAGGAGGGGAUCGUCGGGAAUGGGCGGAAGUCUGACCGAGCAACGCCGCGGGAGGGAAGAAGGGUGUCGGGUCGGAAAGCUCGGUUGUAAGGGAAGAACGAGUGUGAGAGUGGAAAGUUCACACUGUGACGGUAUCUUAUCAGAAAGCAACGGCUAACUACGUG